UACGGAGGGUGCGAACGUUGUCCGGAAUCAUUGGGCGUAAAGGGCGCGUAGGUGGCCCAGUAAGCGUGCGGUGAAAGCUCGGGGCUCAACUCCGAGUCGGCCGUGCGAACUGGGCUCACUGGAGCAUAGUAGAGGCAGGUGGAAUUCCGGGUGUAGCGGUGGAAUGCGUAGAGAUCCGGAAGAACACCGAUGGCGAAGGCAGGUCUCUGGGCCGAUACUGACGCUGAGGAGCGAAAGCGUGGGGAGCGAACAGG
Molecule: ribosomal RNA, 254 nt
Filed under: uncultured bacterium
Lineage: Bacteria
Description: partial 16S ribosomal RNA
Rfam family: Bacterial small subunit ribosomal RNA
Source: RNAcentral